RNAcentral lists this ribosomal RNA (253 nucleotides) under uncultured bacterium. Its description in RNAcentral is "partial 16S ribosomal RNA". It matches the Rfam family "Bacterial small subunit ribosomal RNA", at positions 524 to 776 of the family's 1533-position model. The record is from RNAcentral.
UACGUAGGUGGCAAGCGUUGUCCGGAUUUACUGGGCGUAAAGAGCGCGCAGGCGGUCGUCCAAGUCGAGUGUGAAAGCCCCCGGCUCAACUGGGGAGGGUCACUCGAUACUGAUCGACUCGAAGGCAGGAGAGGGAAGCGGAAUUCCCGGUGUAGUGGUGAAAUGCGUAGAUAUCUGGAGGAACACCGGUGGCGAAGGCGGCGUUCUGGACUGUUACUGACACUGAGGAACGAAAGCCAGGGGAGCAAACGGG